RNAcentral lists this non-coding RNA (116 nucleotides) under Coccolithus braarudii. The record is from RNAcentral. Lineage: Eukaryota; Haptophyta; Coccolithales; Coccolithaceae.
UUUCUGCAGAGCGGCAGCCUGGCUAAUCACACGCCGCUCAGCUCGCCAAAUGUCACACUGCUGCUCUCGCCAUCGCUGCAGUAUACCCUCUACUUCAGCUCAUCCAUCCUGCGCGC